AGUCGAGGGGUAAGUUCUUCGGAACUAGAGACCGGCGCACGGGUGCGUAACGCGUAUGCAAUCUACCUUUUACAGAGGGAUAGCCCAGAGAAAUUUGGAUUAAUACCUCAUAGUAUGCAGAGUUGGCAUCAACACUGCAUUAAAGUCACAACGGUAAAAGAUGAGCAUGCGUCCCAUUAGCUAGUUGGUAAGGUAACGGCUUACCAAGGCUACGAUGGGUAGGGGUCCUGAGAGGGAGAUCCCCCACACUGGUACUGAGACACGGACCAGACUCCUACGGGAGGCAGCAGUGAGGAAUAUUGGACAAUGGGCGCAAGCCUGAUCCAGCCAUGCCGCGUGCAGGAUGACGGUCCUAUGGAUUGUAAACUGCUUUUAUACGAGAAGAAACACUGCUUCGUGAAGCAGCUUGACGGUAUCGUAAGAAUAAGGAUCGGCUAACUCCGUGCCAGCAGCCGCGGUAAUACGGAGGAUCCAAGCGUUAUCCGGAAUCAUUGGGUUUAAAGGGUCCGUAGGCGGUUUAAUAAGUCAGUGGUGAAAGCCCAUCGCUCAACGGUGGAACGGCCAUUGAUACUGUUAAACUUGAAUUAUUAGGAAGUAACUAGAAUAUGUAGUGUAGCGGUGAAAUGCUUAGAGAUUACAUGGAAUACCAAUUGCGAAGGCAGGUUACUACUAAUGGAUUGACGCUGAUGGACGAAAGCGUGGGUAGCGAACAGGAUUAGAUACCCUGGUAGUCCACGCCGUANACGAUGGAUACUAGCUGUUGGAAGCAAUUUCAGUGGCUAAGCGAAAGUGAUAAGUAUCCCACCUGGGGAGUACGUUCGCAAGAAUGAAACUCAAAGGAAUUGACGGGGGCCCGCACAAGCG
Molecule: ribosomal RNA, 864 nt
Filed under: uncultured Bacteroidota bacterium
Lineage: Bacteria; Pseudomonadati; Bacteroidota
Description: bacterial SSU rRNA
Rfam family: Bacterial small subunit ribosomal RNA
Source: RNAcentral